This 468-nucleotide ribosomal RNA is filed under the name uncultured bacterium. RNAcentral's name for it is "partial 16S ribosomal RNA". It matches the Rfam family "Bacterial small subunit ribosomal RNA", at positions 28 to 507 of the family's 1533-position model. The record is from RNAcentral.
GACGAACGCUGGCGGCGUGCUUAACACAUGCAAGUCGAACGGAAAGGCCCUGCUUUUGUGGGGUGCUCGAGUGGCGAACGGGUGAGUAACACGUGAGUAACCUGCCCUUGACUUUGGGAUAACUUCAGGAAACUGGGGCUAAUACCGGAUAGGAGCUCCUGCUGCAUGGUGGGGGUUGGAAAGUUUCGGCGGUUGGGGAUGGACUCGCGGCUUAUCAGCUUGUUGGUGGGGUAGUGGCUUACCAAGGCUUUGACGGGUAGCCGGCCUGAGAGGGUGACCGGCGACAUUGGGACUGAGAUACGGCCCAGACUCCUACGGGAGGCAGCAGUGGGGAAUAUUGCACAAUGGGCGGAAGCCUGAUGCAGCAACGCCGCGUGCGGGAUGACGGCCUUCGGGUUGUAAACCGCUUUCGCCUGUGGCGAAGCGUGAGUGACGGUAAUGGGUAAAGAAGCACCGGCUAACUACGUG